RNAcentral lists this long non-coding RNA (1930 nucleotides) under Marmota monax (woodchuck). Lineage: Eukaryota; Metazoa; Chordata; Mammalia; Rodentia; Sciuridae. The record is from RNAcentral.
AUUUACUUCUGGAGUUUUCCAUUGAAUAUUUUUGGACCUUGGGUAACUAAAACUAUGGAAAGUGAAAGUAUAGUUAAUGGAUCACUGCUGUAAUAAGAUUAAUAAUAUUAGGCUUGAGUGUUUCUGGCAAGACUGCUUAUCAUUCUUCUAAGUCACAUUUAUAAAGCACCUACCUUAUAAAGCCUUUGGUAAAGCAGUGAAAAAGUAAAGAUCCCCACCUUGCCUAGAACUCAUACCUAGCAGAAAGAGGAAAACCCUAGAUGAUAAACAUAAUAAAAGCAAACAUAUAACAAGCAACAAAUUAUUUAUUUGGAUAAUUCCAAAAGAAGUACCUAUCCAGAUGCCCCAAACCAAUCUACAACUAUGGAGGUUGAUUUGAAUGCUUUCAAUAUUUUACUUCUUAUAUCAGCCAACUAACUGAUUGACCAGUUAUAGAAACAGGAAGGGGGGUGACCAAGAAGGCUGGAUUCUUUCCUAAGAGUUUUAUUUACAAGUAACAAAACUAAUUCAAUCUGGAUUAAGCAAAGUGAGAGAAUUAAGGGGUCCCAUGGGUAUGUCAUAGAGCUCAAAGCUGGACCCAGAUUGGAGAUGGGUAUGUCCGGGGUGCACCCUGGCAAAAGGCACUACAUAUUUGAGCAAGGGAAGGGCCACACCUAUUCUGGGUAUCACCAGCCACACCUUAAUCCAGCCUGCUGAGGCCUUCACGAGAAGCUGAAAGUAGCCUGGUCACCUCUGUAGGAUCUGGAGUUCUCCCCUCUUCCUGGUCCAGGGCCCUCUCUGCCAGAGGGCACACUCAAAUAGCUAACGGUCCUCACAAAACACUUUUCACAAUUUUUUUAAAAAGUUAAAAAGAUUUUGCUGGGCACAGUGGUGUAUGCCUAUAAUCCUAGCUGUUCAGGAGGCUGAGGCUGAGGCAGGAGGAUUACGAGUUCAAGGCCAGCCUCAGCAACUUAAUGAGGCCCUAAGCAACUUAGUGAGACCCUGUCUCAAAAUAAAAAAUAAAAGGGGCUGGGGAUAUGGCUCAGUGGUUGAGCACUGGGUUCAAUCUCUGGUACCAAUAAUAAUAAUAAUAAUAAUAAUAAUAAGUUUAUAAUUUGGCAUUAGAAAUAAAUAUUAACUUGAUUUGCUUUUUGCCAUUUUUUUCCUCUUCUUUAUUUUGGAGCCAAUAACAUUUCUUUCGAGGACUCAAACAUUUGCUUAUAACAUCCAGUACUGCUAUCAAUUUUGAACCAGCCUCUCUCCCGGAUUCCAGAGCUCAGCACCCUGAAACCUCAGAUAACUGGUUCUGAUUGUUUCCUCUGCCAAAGAGCCCCAGUUGGAAUCAAUCCAAUGAUGGGAUCUGAUGACCAGAUCUGAUAAAGGGGCCAGGUAAGAACCUGAGCCGCCUUGGGGACAGGCCGUGAAUCUCAAAGCAGACACACAUUCUCCAUUAGUGACCUCCAAGGAGGCCAAUUUCAGCAGAAUCAUUAAAAGUUGAUGAUUCUGCAAAUGUCUUUUUGUCCUCUGGGCUGUGGAUGGUGGGGGAAGCAGGGAAGUGUAGUUUUCCUCUGAAAUGGAAUGAGGAGGUAGGGAAAGAAGGGCAGUAAGAUAAUCCCACACUUAACCUUAGACUGACCAUGAAAUUCAACUUCUAAGAAUUUCAAGAGACAUUCUGGAGGAAGGGAGAGCUCCAGUAACCAUGGAAAUAUUUCAAGGUCAGGAGGUGGGGAAAAGAGGUCAAGGAUUACAUACAGAAUAAGUCAGAAAGUGUACAGAAGACUGCGAUCUAGCAUUAUUUUUCCCCAAAAGAAUUUAACUCAUCUCCCUCUUUGGUCUUUGAUAUUUUAUGACAUUGGACGGACAUCACUGUGGGUCAGGCAUCCUCUUAUGUGUAUUCAGCCUGGACUGGGCUAGUGUCCAGCAUCUUCUAUGAGAAGGCCCCCAGCCUCCC